CGCCGGGCCGGAGGCAUCGUAGCUGUCCCCAAGCGGGCACGCCGACGCAUCGUCUUAAUUUUCGACAGUCGCAACCCGGCUUCAGUGUCGCAUUCUUUCACCUGCAGCACCCUUAAUGUAUCUCAGGUCUUCGGUCAAAUAAGGUGCUUAGCAACUCAGCUUUGCACGUCGCCACGUCGAUAUCGCCACUAGAAACUAAAAGCAACGAGCCAUCAACACGUCGCCUCGCCGGCAUCAGCGCUGACAGCAAAGACAACGAGCCAUCAGCCAUACACUUCAUGGUUCUUUUUCCAGCAGAUAACACAGCCCAAAGCAUCUUAUUCUAGAUAGGGACUGCUACGUACACUAAGCAAGCGAACAAAUUACCUUCCUGGGAUCUUUAAAUAAGCAAAGAGGAAGGCAAGCCAUGGAUGCGAAUGAACAAAGAAGAAAAAGAGAUAGAGAGCGGUAUGCACGGAUGAGCAAUGAAGAAAGGGAAGAAAAACUGAAAAAACGCCGUGAAGCCUAUCAACAAAACAAAACAAACAAAGAUUCAAGAAAGGAGCGAGAUCAAAAGGCAAAACAAAUGCAGGAAUAUGCAAAUACACAGCCAGAACAAAAAGAAGUUGGAACAGAGAAAAUUGCAGCUAACUGUGAACUGGAGCGUGGUAUACCAUCCAAAGAUACAAUUGAGCCAGAACAAAAGCAAGUUGGAAUAGAACAAAUUGCAGGUAACUGUGAACUGGAGCACAGUACACCAAACAAAGAUUCAAUUGCCAUGGAGAAGCCUGCAUAUAUCACGACUGAACAGGAAGUUAGUGUAAAUCAAAGAAAACAUGCCAUGUCAGGAGAAAAACAGAAAAGAGAUAGAGAGCGCUAUGCAGCGAUGACCAGUGAAGAAAGGGAAGAAAAACUGAGUAAACGUCGAGAAGCCUAUCAAAAAAACAAAAAAAUAAAGAUUCAAGGAAGAAGACAGAUCAAAAGGCAAAAAAAGGCAGGAAUAUGCAAAUAUGCAACCGGAACAAAAGAAAGCUAGGAUAGAAAAAAUUAAAGCUAAUCGUGAAUUGAAGCGCAACAUGCCAAGUAAAGAUUCAAUUGCGAUGGAGAACCCUGCAUAUAUUGCAACCGAGCAGGAAGUUAGUACAUCUCCCUGUACUGUAAAACAUGGAAAGCAUGUGACAGCGGGUGAAAGACAAACGCUGCUACACCGUCAUAACGAAGAAUUCGCAGCAAGACAGAUGAAAUCAUCACAAGAAGAUAGAUCCAUGUCGGAAAAUGACAACGAUGACAACGAACCUCCCGAACAACCAGAAGUCACGAUUAAUGACAUCCCCCUCUCUAUAAUGUUUCCAUCCAUUAAAGAAGCGGAUGCCCAAACACAAACAGCCUACAACGACGAUCACAGUAAGGUGGCUUUUUGGCCAGGCAUCCCCACUUCAAUGUGUCCAACAAUCAAAGAAGUAAAUGCACGAAUACAAUCAUUCUACAAUAAUGGUCACGGUGUGACUAUGAAGGCAUAUGUGAGCAAGACAAAACCAUCAAAGAAGUAGAUGCACCAAAACAAUCAAUCUACAACGAUGAUCACGAUAAUGAUAGUCAUAUUUGAAGAAGACACAAACGAGGAUGAAUACAUGUUCUUUGGUGAAGAAUGGGAUGGAAAAGUGGAAAUUGAAACCAGAGAAGACGAGGAAUUUCACAACCCUGAUCCGUAUGAUAUCGUCUACAGCAACAUACCAAAGAACACACACAUGUUCAGAACGGAAAAAAAUUGCAAGUUCUGUAAUGCAACGAAAUUGAAGUAUGAAUCUAAGGGGUUAUGCUGCAGAAAAGGGAAGAUAAGACUAGCCAAUCCAGAUACAGCACCUGAACUUAUGAGACUUUGGACAAGCAACGACUCUGAUGCAAGACAUUUUCGGAACAAUAUAAGAUUUUUCAAUGGACACUUCUCAUUCACUACUCUAUACUGCUAGCUUGACAGAGAGACAACCAACAUUCGAACAACUGGUAUUUACACCUUCCGAGCUCAUGGUCAGAUCUAUCACAACAUACACUCAUUUGGUAAUAGUCGCUCCGAUCCAAAGCAUCUGGAGUUGUACUUCUACAAUGAUGAUCCAAGCUUAGAGCAUCGGUACCGCCGCUGCCGCGAGGAAAUGUAUGAGCAAGACAGGCAGGUGAUUGGAAUCAUAACUGACAUUCUACGCGAUAACCCAUACUCUCAACAGUUCAGGAGUUUGGGACAAGCCCAAAACCUCGAGGACUACAGACUUAUCUUGAACGUUGACCAAAGAUUGGACCAGAGAACAUACAACGCACCAAUCAAUUCGAAGGUAGCUGCAGUGUGGAUUGAAGGAAAUCAAAGAAGAGAUACUUAUGAUAGGAAUGUAAUACUUCAUGGGAACAACAACGAAAUAGAGCACAUUAGAUCAUAUUACGGGUGCUACGACCCGUUAUCAUAUCCUCUAUUCUUUCCAAGAGCUGAACUCGGUUGGCAUAGGAAAAUCCCAAAGAAGGAUACACAAGAGGAAGAUGUUGAUGAUGAAAAUAUCAGUAAUGACGAUGACCCAGGUAAUUGUAUUCAAAAUUAAAUUUUCAGGGCGAAGCUAGAAGAAAUGAAGCAGCAACUAUUUGAGAAGGCCAUUCUUGGAAAGGUUAAGGCAUAUACAUAUGUCCUAGAGUUCCAAAAGAGGGGAUUACCCCAUGCUCACCUUUUGCUCAUCAUGACCGGAAAAUACAAAUACACGUGUCCGGAACAGUAUGACAGAAUCAUCUCCGCUGAGCUCCCUAACAAGCACAAGUACCCAGAACUAUACAAAAUGGUAGUCAAACAUAUGAUGCAUGGUCCUUGCGGUGCAUUGAAUAAAUUUUGUCCAUGCACAAAGAAUCGUCAGUCAUGCAAGAACAAUUAACCAAGGCCAUUUAACGAAACUAUGAUUCAAGGCAAGGACUCCUACCCACUAUAUAGGAGACGCAAUGACGGUCGUACUGAAAUGGUCCGAGGUUGCAAACUAGAUAAUAGGUGGGUGGUUCCUUACAACCCCUACCUGCUAAGGAUGUUCAACUGCCACAUAAAUGUUGAGAUAUGCUCAAGCAUUAAAGCCGUUAAGUACCUCUUCAAGUA
Triticum dicoccoides is the source of this 3097-nucleotide long non-coding RNA. RefSeq lists it as uncharacterized. The transcript is spliced from 8 exons. NCBI's taxonomy places the organism in Eukaryota, Viridiplantae, Streptophyta, Magnoliopsida, Poales, Poaceae. The record is from RefSeq and is a predicted model, not a curated record.